ACCCCCUUUAGCAGAACCUACAGUGGAGUAUUGAUAAUUGCCUAGCUUGUAUUAGUUGUGAUGAUUUGGGUAUUAAUCUUAUUUUCCUGACUAGCUUCUAGGCUCUUUGAAAGUAAAUCUUGGCAUUCUUUGCAAGUUCUAUCUUGGCAUUUUUCAUUGACCCUGGCAUAGUAUCUUGUACACAAUAGUGUUCAUAAAAAUACUUGCUUUAUGAGUAAGUAAAUCAUUUGUAAGCAUAAACAACUGAAAGCCUCCUCUUCUGCCCUGACACCACUCCACCCCCCUGCCCCCCCCACCGGCCCCAUUGUUGAAGUGAUUAUUCAGAUCCAUAGAUAGCUGUUGAUGCAUAAGGGAAUAAAUACAGUGGGCUGCCAGGGAAGCAGAGAGGGUCAACCAGGCCUAGGCAGAAAUUUGCAGUCCAGAAAGAUACAAGGGCAGAGCUGAGGGAGAGGCAAUUUAGAUAGGAGGAAUGGCUGGCGUAAAUGUUCAGAGAAAGGGAUGUGUAUGCAAUGUAUAAACUGGCCAGUUUAACUUGAACAGAAUUCCUAUAGA
RNAcentral lists this long non-coding RNA (552 nucleotides) under Bos taurus (domestic cattle). RNAcentral describes it as "long non-coding RNA NONBTAT024474". The record is from RNAcentral. Lineage: Eukaryota; Metazoa; Chordata; Mammalia; Artiodactyla; Bovidae.